CGUUGAACGAUCAUAAGUUUUCAUCGGUUGCGGUGAGCGACUCGAUUCAUGCGGCUAUUCAAAACCUACAAGAUUAGUCCAUCUUGUACAGGUCUGGUCUUCUGCAGUUUCAUCACUAGAGACAUGGAGAGAUUUCAAGAUAAGGACGACAGAUUUAGAACUUUUUACUUCGAAGAAUCUGGAUGUAACUUAUAGUUUCUUAGGGAUCUUUGUUAUGGAUUUUUAUUUCAGUUUUCUCGAUACUUUGUACUCUGUUUAUUGGAUCAAAGGCAGAUAUUUUUUUUUUAAAAGGACUAUUGGUCCUGUACGAGUACGAGCCAGAGAGAAAUUCAACAACUUAUAAAAGGACUGGAAGCAGUUAAAAAAGGACUGCAAGAGAAAGGAAAAUAAAUGCCAAAGCGCGUCGCCGAGCUCCACCUCACUGACCCAUGG
This 432-nucleotide long non-coding RNA is filed under the name Brachypodium distachyon (stiff brome). RNAcentral describes it as "long non-coding RNA (BDIS_LNC000143)". Lineage: Eukaryota; Viridiplantae; Streptophyta; Magnoliopsida; Poales; Poaceae. The record is from RNAcentral.